AUUUGAUUCAAUAUAAAUAAUUUACAGCUUGAAAAAUUUAUGGGACCAUCGAUAGCGAGUGUUGUACACAGCCGAUAUCCUGGCUGAUCGGGAGGCAGUCAAAAUUGAUGCUGUUAGCAAAUGGUCUAAAGGCGUCCAUCUUUGGGGUCCCGCCAGCAGGAGCAACCUCAGCAUGAUUCAGCUUUUUCGAAUUUUAUCUGCCAGCUAAAUAUUGCUUGGUUAAAGGAGUUUGAAAUAUAUGAUGAAACAUUAAGCUCCAUGCCAUCAAAUUUAUCGAAAGAACUAGACUCGCCACUAGAAGUUGAUUAUCGAGGACGAAUAUUCUUAAACAAGAGUUUGUAUAUUAAGGUACACUUUGUGAACAACUAAUAUUAAAAAAAACAAGAAAGAAAGGCUAUCUUAGGC
Long non-coding RNA from Drosophila novamexicana, 405 nucleotides. RefSeq lists it as uncharacterized. The transcript has 3 exons. The record is from RefSeq and is a predicted model, not a curated record. Lineage: Eukaryota; Metazoa; Arthropoda; Insecta; Diptera; Drosophilidae.